CUCCAGUCCCAGGUUAUGUUUAAUGACGGUAUACAGUGACGUAACAUAACCUGUUACCAUAAAGUAAUCUUGCUCCCAUUUUAGGCCUUCUAUACUCUGUAAUAGAUCUCCGCUGUCUUUUAAGUACGACCUCGCAUUUUUAACAAAGGGUUGUAGUAUGACAUCUAUAUACUGGGAUAGAUUGCAUGUUAAAGAUCCUAUCCCAGAGAUGAUAGGUCUACCUGGAGGAUUUAAGAGACUCUUGUGUAUUUUUGGCAACUGGUAAAAUACCGUUUUUUUAGG
Molecule: non-coding RNA, 282 nt
Organism: Pelobates cultripes (western spadefoot toad)
Lineage: Eukaryota; Metazoa; Chordata; Amphibia; Anura; Pelobatidae
Source: the annotation of a GenBank genome assembly